GUAGGUGGCAAGCGUUGUCCGGAAUUAUUGGGCGUAAAGCGCGCGCAGGCGGGGGGUUUUUUAAGUCUGAUGUGAAAGCCCACGGGCUCAACCGUGGAGGGUCAUUGGAAACUGGAGAACUUGAGUACAGAAGAGGAAAGCGGAAUUCCACGUGUAGCGGUGAAAUGCGUAGAGAUGUGGAGGAACACCAGUGGCGAAGGCGGCUUUCUGGUCUGUAACUGACGCUGAGGCGCGAAAGCGUGGGGAGCAAACAGGAUUAGAUACCCUGGUAGUCCACGCCGUAAACGAUGAGUGCUAAGUGUUAGGGGGUUUCCGCCCCUUAGUGCUGCAGCUAACGCAUUAAGCACUCCGCCUGGGGAGUACGGCCGCAAGGCUG
Molecule: ribosomal RNA, 376 nt
Filed under: uncultured organism
Description: partial 16S ribosomal RNA
Rfam family: Bacterial small subunit ribosomal RNA
Source: RNAcentral